RNAcentral lists this small nuclear RNA (85 nucleotides) under Cavia aperea (Brazilian guinea pig). Its description in RNAcentral is "U2 spliceosomal RNA (ENSCAPG00000001460.1)". It matches the Rfam family "U2 spliceosomal RNA", at positions 1 to 92 of the family's 192-position model. From Rfam's summary of the family: U2 is a small nuclear RNA (snRNA) component of the spliceosome (involved in pre-mRNA splicing). Complementary binding between U2 snRNA (in an area lying towards the 5' end but 3' to hairpin I) and the branchpoint sequence (BPS) of the intron results the bulging out of an unpaired adenosine, on the BPS, which initiates a nucleophilic attack at the intronic 5' splice site, thus starting the first of two transesterification reactions that mediate splicing. The record is from RNAcentral. Lineage: Eukaryota; Metazoa; Chordata; Mammalia; Rodentia; Caviidae.
AUGGCUUCUCAGUCUUUUGGCUAAGAUCAAAUGUAGUUUCUGUUCUUAUCAGUUUAAUAUCUAAUAUGUCCUCUAUCUAAAAUGU